UCGAUUCCGGGGCGUUGAGAAUCGAGAGUCGAAUUCCAAAGGUUGGAAUCGAUUCCAUCAAGGGGAGUCGACUCCUCAUUCAGAGUCUUUUUCAGUUCAACAAAGCUUAUCAACGGGAGUCUCUCAAACGGAAGGCUAUCCGACAAAAGCUGCACACAUUUAAAUCCACGAAAAAAGAAAAGAAAAAAAAAAAACAGAAAGAAAACGAGUCGGUAGGCUACUGAUCAAUUGAAUUUUAGGAUGUAGGCUAGCCUUCCGUUUCAGAAGCACAAUUCACCAAAGCCAUAAUUACAACAGUUGUGAAAUAAAAGAUUAUUAUAUAUAUAAAACGAUUCAGAGGUUAUUUUACGGUAGAACUGGCUUGUCCACAAUUUUGAGCGGUUCAUGACAGAAUAGAUCAUGACGUCAAUGAGGGUCUUGAUCUUAUUACCAUCUAAAAUACUAUUUUUUAAAAACAUUUCUAUCAGCCAAUGAUAAUUAUAAAAGAACACGUCACGAGCAUAGAUCAGUGGCCGAGAGCGCAUCUGAUUGACAGAUAAACCAUGAGCUCUAUCAGUUAUUAAUGUUCUGGUUAUUUAGUUUAAGUGUACAGUUUGUUAAUAUUGUGCAAAGUAUACAAAGUAAACUUCAUCAUUCAGCUCAACUGUGCACAUUUCUUUUAGACACUUCAUGUCUUAUUUAAUAUAUGCGAUAAACGCAUGUCCCUGAUUAGCUGGGCUAAGACUAAUUUCACGAGCAAAGCUGAAAAAACAAAACUUUUCAUAUCAUCAUCAUUUUUUUUUUUUUUUACAAAUUUUUUCAGCUUCAUAUUAUAUGAAGGAUACAUUAUACGACCUAUCCUGCAGUCAUCAUGAUGAGAUUAGGUUCCUUUAAUCUAAAAAAAAAGAACAAGAAUUGAAAAAGAAUCUAAAACAACAGUGAGGAAUCGAUUCUUGGAAUCGAUUCCCAUCGAUUCCAGGACCAGGAAUUGGAAUCGGAAUCGAUUCCAAAAAUUGUGGAAUCGAACAGCCCUAG
Molecule: long non-coding RNA, 1014 nt
Organism: Cyprinus carpio carpio
Lineage: Eukaryota; Metazoa; Chordata; Actinopteri; Cypriniformes; Cyprinidae
Source: Ensembl